Molecule: long non-coding RNA, 373 nt
Filed under: Setaria italica (foxtail millet)
Lineage: Eukaryota; Viridiplantae; Streptophyta; Magnoliopsida; Poales; Poaceae
Description: long non-coding RNA (SITA_LNC003519)
Source: RNAcentral
UAAAAUUCCUGAUACAAUUGGUAGUAUCCGCAAUCUGCAACAACUGUAUCUAGCGCAUAACAAUUUGUCCGGGCUGAUACCAGCAGUACUACAGAAUUUGACAUCACUGUCAGAAUUGGAUCUGUCCUUCAACAAUCUGCAAGGUGAAGUACCAAAAGAGGGAAUAUUUAGAAAUUUGUCAACCUUGUCAAUCACCGGAAAUAAUGGACUUUGUGGAGGAAUACCUCAGCUUAAUUUAGAUCCAUGCCACACCAGUUCUAUCAAAAAGAACACAAAGGGGUGGUUGAAGUCUCUUACAAUAGCUUUGGCAACAAUCAGUGCAUUCCUGUUCUUAGCUUUCAUGAUCGCACUCAUUCGGUUAAAAGGUAAUAAG